GACGAACGCUGGCGGCGUGCCUAAUACAUGCAAGUAGAACGCUGAAGGAGGAGCUUGCUUCUCCGGAUGAGUUGCGAACGGGUGAGUAACGCGUAGGUAACCUGCCUGGUAGCGGGGGAUAACUAUUGGAAACGAUAGCUAAUACCGCAUAAGAGUAGAUGUUGCAUGACAUUUGCUUAAAAGGUGCAAUUGCAUCACUACCAGAUGGACCUGCGUUGUAUUAGCUAGUUGGUGGGGUAACGGCUCACCAAGGCGACGAUACAUAGCCGACCUGAGAGGGUGAUCGGCCACACUGGGACUGAGACACGGCCCAGACUCCUACGGGAGGCAGCAGUAGGGAAUCUUCGGCAAUGGACGGAGGUCUGACCGAGCAACGCCGCGUGAGUGAAGAAGGUUUUCGGACCGUAAAGCUCUGUUGUAAGAGAAGAACGAGUGUGAGAGUGGAAAGUUCACACUGUGACGGUAUCUUACCAGAAAGGGACGGCUAACUACGUGCCAGCAGCCGCGGUAAUACGUAGGUCCCGAGCGUUGUCCGGAUUUAUUGGGCGUAAAGCGAGCGCAGGCGGUUAGAUAAGUCUGAAGUUAAAGGCUGUGGCUUAACCAUAGUACGCUUUGGAAACUGUUUAACUUGAGUGCAAGAGGGGAGAGUGGAAUUCCAUGUGUAGCGGUGAAAUGCGUAGAUAUAUGGAGGAACACCGGUGGCGAAAGCGGCUCUCUGGCUUGUAACUGACGCUGAGGCUCGAAAGCGUGGGGAGCAAACAGG
This 763-nucleotide ribosomal RNA is filed under the name uncultured Streptococcus sp. Its description in RNAcentral is "bacterial SSU rRNA". It matches the Rfam family "Bacterial small subunit ribosomal RNA", at positions 28 to 776 of the family's 1533-position model. The record is from RNAcentral. Lineage: Bacteria; Bacillati; Bacillota; Bacilli; Lactobacillales; Streptococcaceae.